Molecule: transfer RNA, 72 nt
Filed under: Camelus bactrianus (Bactrian camel)
Lineage: Eukaryota; Metazoa; Chordata; Mammalia; Artiodactyla; Camelidae
Also listed under: 2 other names
Rfam family: tRNA
About the family: Transfer RNA (tRNA) molecules are approximately 80 nucleotides in length. Their secondary structure includes four short double-helical elements and three loops (D, anti-codon, and T loops). Further hydrogen bonds mediate the characteristic L-shaped molecular structure. tRNAs have two regions of fundamental functional importance: the anti-codon, which is responsible for specific mRNA codon recognition, and the 3' end, to which the tRNAs corresponding amino acid is attached (by aminoacyl-tRNA synthetases). tRNAs cope with the degeneracy of the genetic code in two manners: having more than one tRNA (with a specific anti-codon) for a particular amino acid; and 'wobble' base-pairing, i.e. permitting non-standard base-pairing at the 3rd anti-codon position.
Source: Rfam by way of RNAcentral
GAGGGUAUAGCUCAGUUGUAGAGCAUGUGCUUAGCAUACACGAGGGCCUAGGUGUAAUUCCCAGUAUCUCCA